Long non-coding RNA from Anneissia japonica, 3781 nucleotides. RefSeq lists it as uncharacterized. The record is from RefSeq and is a predicted model, not a curated record. The transcript is spliced from 2 exons. NCBI's taxonomy places the organism in Eukaryota, Metazoa, Echinodermata, Crinoidea, Comatulida, Comatulidae.
UUUCAAUUUUCUAUUUGAAGCCAAAUUUAAUAAGGAGUUUUUAAAAAAUAAACCUUUACACAAUCAGGAAGUCGCGUACGCUUACUCUUUUUUACGCGUACACAGACACGUCCACCGGAACCGAAAAUGCUACGCGUACGCAAAAACCUUCAUCCGAACCGGAAACGCGUGCGCGUGCGUUUCCACAAGCUCAUAACACGCGCGGCACAUCCUUUGUUGAUAAUAAUGCAUGCCUGGCUGUGACUACUCUACCAUUCCCUCUACUAAUAACAACCUCCUAUAGAUAAUGAAAUAAAACAUGAUGUAAUUAGCCUAUAGAUUAUUGAGAUAAAAAUAACAAUGAUGUACAAUUUUUAGGAGCUCAAAACAUCGGAAAACAACCUUCUCGAAGGGCCAAAUUUGAGACAUGAAUCAGAUUGGUCAUAAAUCAUCACACCACUUUUUAAUGAUUAUACUUUCUGUCAAUAGUCAAUUGUGAUUGGUUGAACGUUUCGUACCGGUAGUGGACAACUGUGCCCUGUCCACGUACCAACCAAAUUUAUUACAGAGAUGUUCAAUAUAUAAACUUGGAUUACAUUUCUUACUGUUUCUGUAUUUUAUUAUGUGACUGAUUUUUGUUAUCAGUUUAAAAGGAAAAUGAUGUCUUGGAGAAUUGUGAACAACAUUAACAGCACCGAUGACUGGACAUAUUUGUACAUAAUAUGGAAUUAUUUGAUAAUCCUUCAAUGAUAAGUUAAUAGGAAAAGAGGCCUAUAUCUAUUAUAUCAAUACCAUUAAAAAUUCAUAUCUUUGUAUUAAGAGGUUAAGGGCUAAAUUUUCUUGACAUACUUGUGGAACAUAAAUGGACCAUUCCACUUGGCCCUUCUUUCCCUUGGUUAUUAUUGCUAAGGCCCCUCAAAACGAUAUUAUAUAAACUUGUGUUUGUGGGACACGCUCAUGUUCCUGGCCCUUUGUAAUCCCAAGUAUAAAAAGUAGGUUCUCGUCCUAAUAGUAUUUUGGAUUUAGGAGAAUGAGGGAACUUAAAAAAAUUAAAAAAUAAAUAAAUAAAAUUGGGUGAGGUAGAGAUAAUAGAUGUGCGAAGGGAUGAGAAACUAUUAUUUUUUUUUUUUUUAUUUGGCCUAAAAUUUGUGUUGGAAAAGUCCACUAUGUUUCUUGUGUAAGAUAUUAUAUAAUAAAUACUAAUUUAAGGAGUAUACACAUCAUUGGUGAUAGUGGCCUUAAGUUGUUUCUGUAUUUUUAACUAGUAAUAUAAAUCUUAUCGUACAGUGUUAUUAGCUUCCUAACAAGGCAACACUUUUUUUUAUCUUGUUUAGCAAACCCUCUGACUGCAAGUAAUGGUGAUUUUGAAUAAAAAUAAAAUUUUAUUUUUGGCCAGUUAGCACAUCCUCCACCAUUUCUAUUACACACUCCACUCCUGUGAAAUAUCCAAAAAAUAAGAUAAAUUUUCUUUCCCUUAAUUAUAUAUAUUUAAAGCAUUUAUUAAUCUCACUAUUAUACAACACUGUUUACAUACAUUCAUUAUUUUCUUCUCUGCCUAGGUGGUUUGGCAAAAUCAUUUUAAAUAAGAAAACAGAAUUUUAUUUUUAUACAGUAUAUGUGUUUUCUGCCCUCUGACAACCUUUUAAAAAUAUAAGUUUGUUAAACAAGGUAUUUAAAAAGUUUCACCAAAUGAAUAGUCUAGUAAAUAAUAUAAUAAAUAGAGAAUAUAUCUGGCAAUUUUUUAUAAAGCUUCGUUUCAGUAAAAAUGGUUGUUGCACUGCGUGGCUUCCACCAAAGCAAUUGGGAAAGUGCCCCGAUUUGACCAACUAAUGAGCAUCCAGUUUUGGUGUAUAUGAUAAUAAUGUGGACAUAAUUCUGUUUAUGAUUAAUACAGCAAAAACCCCUAUUAAGUGGCCUCCUUCUAUACCUAAAAAAGUGCCCACUUAAAAGGGUGUCCCAAAAGAGGGGUUCUACUGUACAGUUUAUGUGAAAUGUUGUUGUUUCUGUGUCUUUAAAAGUACCAGCAUCUGUGGUUUCCAUUUUUCAUAUUUAUUAUUCAACAGAGGAACUCAAUAAUAUACUGCCAUGGAAGAUAAGCCUACUGUAAUACUAAUUCUAGAAUCACGUUUUGAAUCAAAUUCCUCCACUCUGGCUAUCUGGCUGAAGUCCAGCUCAAAAGAACCCAAAAGUCCAAGGCUGAAUAAAAAUAAUAAGCCAACUUGGCUUCAAUAACCUAAUCUUUUGCUUCUAUUUCUUUGCAUUUGUUUAUCUCCGGGUUGCAGCCACUUAUUGGAAUAUCACUCAGCAGUUUUCAUCCUUGUAAAGUAACUAAUUUUAUUUUCAGUCCCAGGGAUUUAGUGGUCAAUGAGCUAGGCUUGUGUUCAAGUCAGUGUAGUGAUAAUUAUGAAUGUACAUCAUGCUUUAUGAAUUAUAUAGAACGACAAGAUGACAUACAACAUAAAUGAAAAUUAUAAUCAGUGGCAGAUUCAAGGUAGAGCCAAGCCGGCCUGGGCACCCCUCCCCUAACUUUUUUCCAAAUUAUAUAAAAAUGUAAAGAAAAAAAGGAAAAUUUUAAUCAAAUUUAUUUCUGAGAGUGCCAAUUCUGGUCAUCUAGAAGUGCCAUAAUCAGAAAUCUAUCCUCAGUGCCAAUCAUGGUGGGGCUGAGGUGGUCUAACUCACCAUCUGAGAAAGUCCCUCUGGGCCCCCCCUCUAUUUCAAAUUCCUGGAUCCGCCACUGAUAUUUACAUAAACUACCUCAUAUAUUUACUGUACGGAAACACGCCAGUGGUAGGUGCAAUGUAAGGGCCAUUUUGCCACUCCAUUUUCUAAUUUCCAUGCAUACAAUGUAUUGACAACCAGCAUUUUGAUGUUUGUAUGUGAAGAUAGGUACAGAUAUUGAAACAAGGAAAAUAGAAUAUUAUGUGCCCCACCCCACACCUAUUGCCUGUUUGAAAAAAAUUCCCAUGCAUGCACAGAGAAUUCCAUUGGAAUUUAAACUAUACUUAACAUGAGUACAACACUGUAUUUGUGCCUUUCAAAGUAGGGGAGAGGCUUAAUAAAAGCCUGACAUGAACCAUGUUUUGCUAUUAUUUAGCAUAAAAUUUAACAAAUAUUUUAGUUUGAAUGCAAACCUUCAGCAGCAGUGCAAAAUCUGGGAAUGUUUUAGCACUACAUAGGGGCCUGACAAUUGAUGAUCGUGAUUAUAAAGUAUUGCACCACUGUCACUAUGUACUUCACAGCCUCCCAGUUUAAGAAAGCAUCAAUUUAUGAACACUGUCCCCGAAGCAAGGCUACUUUAUGAAAUUGUGACCUUUGGUAUUCCUGUACAUGCAUUUUCUUGAGGAUCAAGAAUGAGCCAACUGACUUGACAGUUGAGUACUCAUCCUAUAAUCACAUGCUCCUAAGUUCAGUUCCCUGCAGUGGCAUGUCUACGAGUCUUGAAAAGAGGUGCUGAUAGGGUGAGAGAAGGUUGAGAGGGUGAUUGAUGAAUAAACAAGUGGUGCUAGAUCACAAAAUAAGGGGAUGAAGUGAUUUUUAACUACAUGAGUGAUUUUUUUGCUCCAGACAUUUUCAAUGGGAUGUGGACGACUGGGAGAGGGAUGAGCUUUUUUUGGGUGGGGGGAGCAUGCUUUCCCACUCACCCCAUUAUGCAACUGAUUCCCAGGGACCUUAUAAGAUCUCCAGGAUAUUGUCCUUCAAUUCAAGUACUUUUGAGACAGCUUUCACUUUCAAUGAUAUUUGAUUCUCUAUUAUAUUCAAAUUUAUUGGAAAUAUUGUAAAAUAAAUAAAUGUACUGAAUAAU